Molecule: ribosomal RNA, 315 nt
Filed under: Triticum aestivum (bread wheat)
Lineage: Eukaryota; Viridiplantae; Streptophyta; Magnoliopsida; Poales; Poaceae
Description: partial small subunit ribosomal RNA
Source: RNAcentral
AUGACACUUAAGCACAGAGACUUCGAUCCAUUCGUGUCGGGUCGCUACAGCAUAGUUAUGACGAUAUCUAAGGCAAUGAUCAUGAAUAUAGGCAUCACGUCCGUGACAGGUUUUAAGGUCUUUGGGCUCCAACGUAACAUCUUUAGAGGAACAUGUCUGCCAUUAUUGGACCCAAAAAAAUUUGUUGAGGUUGUUGAGAUUGGUAAAGGGAAGCAUAAUAUAAUUGGAUUUUGUUCAAGACAAAUGAAAAACAAACAAAGGUCUAUCAGUUUCAGCCGACAUGACAAAAGGCAUAAAUUGUUCCAUGCUUGCUAG